UGAUGAUGGCGUGGACAAUUUUUUAGCAUACUCUUAAAUCUCUCCCAAGCUUGGUAGAGAUUCUAUCCUUCUUUCUGUCUGAAACUCAGAAUCCCACUUCUCAAAUA
RNAcentral lists this small nucleolar RNA (107 nucleotides) under Capsicum annuum. RNAcentral's name for it is "Plant small nucleolar RNA R71". It matches the Rfam family "Plant small nucleolar RNA R71". Rfam says of the family: R71 is a member of the C/D box family of snoRNAs containing the C (UGAUGA) and D (CUGA) box motifs. Multiple nearly identical copies of this snoRNA have been identified in Arabidopsis, and it is thought to function as a 2'-O-ribose methylation guide for 18S ribosomal RNA. Lineage: Eukaryota; Viridiplantae; Streptophyta; Magnoliopsida; Solanales; Solanaceae. The record is from Rfam by way of RNAcentral.